Taeniopygia guttata (zebra finch) is the source of this 2245-nucleotide non-coding RNA. Lineage: Eukaryota; Metazoa; Chordata; Aves; Passeriformes; Estrildidae. The record is from RefSeq and is a predicted model, not a curated record.
AGCCUGUGCAGGGGCUGCUUUGCUUUGCAGGCAGGGAAGGGCUUGGGCUGCUCCACUGCCCUUGUUUGCUUUGGGAUCACCAUGGGGGCAGUGCAGGGGAAGGGAGAAAGCCUGGGAUUCCCUCACCCAUGGUGGGUUUUUCCCUGGCAUGCAGGGGUUGGGCCUUCCUUAAGCCCCUGACAGAGAUCAGAGUUUUUAAAUUUUUUCUUAUUUCCCCUUUUUGUCUGUAAUCUAUUUUCAAUAAUUUGUUGUUUGUUUUUCUAGAGGAAGCGUUCCAGGUGGGGUCCAGUCUGGAUCAGGAAGUGCUUGGGAGCAGCUGCAGCGUGGAUGGGCCGUGCCCUUGGAGAAGGCUGAGGGCAUCGUUUGGGACCAGCUUUUCUUCCAGCGGUGGAUGGCGUGAGCCGGGCUCUGCGGGUGCUGAGGCUGCUCUGGGCUCUGCCAGGGCUCUGCUGGCCUCUGCCCUGGGCACAGCUGGGCUGGCUCUGCCCUCACAUUGCUCUGACAGCUUUGCAUCAGACAAGCCUAUUCCGAGCACAGUGCCUGAGCUUUCUGCUUUGGCAGAAACAUGCUCUACAAAAGGAGUGUCCUUUGCUCCUGGUUCCCGUGGGGAGCAGCUCCCUUCCCGCUGGCUGAGCUGCUCAGGCAGAGCCCGGCAGCUCCUGGCCCUGCAGGGCUGAGGCUUUUCCCCGUUGCUGGGCACAGACUGAUGGAGCAGCACGGCUGAACACGGGGCACACAGAGGGACCAGCAGCAGCUGCCUUUGGCCACCUGAGGCUCCAAGGCCCAAACUCUGAGCAGGCAGGGCUGGAAGAGACUCGCAGGCUCCCUGCUGGCUCUGCUGCCCCACUUGUGCCCACCUGGGAGCCCCCAGUGCCAGCAGGGACUUGAGAUGGCAGCCCUGGGCUCCUGGAGGUUGUGCAAGGAACGGAGCUGGGGACUCCCUGUCCAUGGAGAGCUUCCAGAUGGAAACGGCUGCUGUGCCCAGGCAGAUCCAAGGGCAGAGAAAGGAGGGUCUGGACCACGGGAUCUGUGCCAGUCCCACAGUCCUGGGCAGCAGCCACCGAGCCCUGGGGGAGCAGAGGGCACAGCAAGAGGGACAAAACCAGGCAAGGUCAGAGACUGGAGAGAGCCAGACCUGGGAGCAGGAGCAGCUGCUCCAUUGCACCCUUGGAGAAAGCUCUUGGCUGGUUCAAAGGGCUGAAAGGCAUCAAGGGCAGAGAGGAGGCCACACCAAGCAAUGCUCCUGUUUUCACGGCCUCCCCUCUCCGUGUUCCAGAAGGAAUUGGAUGAAUUGUGUUCUUCCCUCUGAGUCCUCUCGUUCAGCACGAGCAGCUGAGCACCAGGAGCUGAAGGAGCUGAAGCCUCAGGCCUCAAGAGCUGAGCAAGAGGAGACUUUCUGAGCAAAUGAAUGCUGCUAACAUGGACCUGGCUGAAUGCAGCAGAUGGAACCAUGGAAUCACAGAAUCCUUUCUGUGGGGAAAGACCUCUGAGCUCAUCCAGUCCAGCCGUUCAGUGUCGAGCCCAGCACUAAGCCACAUCCCUGAAGUGCCAAGGCCUGGACAACAGCCCUGAGUGAGGCCUGAAGAGCAGGCCCUGAGCCAAAGGUGGCCUCGGGAUGAACCUUCCAACCAAAGGUUAUCUUUGUAUCUGCUCAUUAAUGAAAUAUGCAUGGUCAUUAGCACUGUGGUAGAUGUAUCCACUCAUUAGUGAAACAUGUUGUCCCAGAUUGAAAGGCAAGAUGUAUUCCAUUUGCCAUCUCUAUGGCAGUUGUGCAGAGGGCAGAUUUCCUUUUCUCUUUCACAACCUAUUCUCCUUCUGGGGAGACAUCUGCUAAUAAUGAGCUAUUGAAUGUCACUGCACGACUGAUAAGAACUAUAACAUCCCGCUGGGAGAUGCUCCGCCCAGAGGGAGGAGCCAAGCAUUUCUACCUGGAUAUAAUCUUGAGUUUCUGGAACACCAGCAUGGCUUUUUCUGCACUGGAUUUCCCAGAGGAACAGCUGCCUCUUCCACUGCCUCUUCAGAGGAAGACUACACCAUUUUCUACAGGAUCACUGCUCCAACAGAACCACACCUGCCACUCCAGGGGGACUGCAACCACCAUUCCAAUUAGACUGCUACCAACACCCUGACCAAAAGGGUGUCAGGUUGUAUUCUGACUCUGUCAGUGUUGUUUUGCAUUACUGCAUUGUUUAUUAUAUCUUUUUCUUUUCUUCCCUAAUAAAGAGCUGUAAUUCCUGCUCCCGUA